UACGAAGGGUGCAAACGUUGCUCGGAAUUACUGGGCGUAAAGCGUGCGUAGGUGGUGAGUUAAGUCUGUCGUGAAAGCCCCGGGCUCAACCUGGGAAUGGCGAUGGAUACUGGCUCGCUAGAGUGCGGUAGAGGAGAGUGGAAUUCCCGGUGUAGCAGUGAAAUGCGUAGAGAUCGGGAGGAACAUCAGUUGCGAAGGCGGCUCUCUGGACCAGCACUGACACUGAGGCACGAAAAGCGUGGGGGAGCAAACAGG
Molecule: ribosomal RNA, 255 nt
Filed under: uncultured bacterium
Lineage: Bacteria
Description: partial 16S ribosomal RNA
Rfam family: Bacterial small subunit ribosomal RNA
Source: RNAcentral